This 654-nucleotide ribosomal RNA is filed under the name uncultured bacterium. Its description in RNAcentral is "bacterial SSU rRNA". It matches the Rfam family "Bacterial small subunit ribosomal RNA", at positions 8 to 703 of the family's 1533-position model. The record is from RNAcentral.
AAAGUUUGAUCAUGGCUAAGUCUUAACAAAUGUAAGUCGAAGCCAGGUAUUAGAGUUUGAUCAUGGUCUUCUCCUAUGAGGUAAAGAGUAAUGAGGAAUGAGAGUUAGAUCGUAUAAUGGACUGGGACAGGUAAUGGGAAAAGUGGCUAAUAGUUAAUAAGAUUUAAGUGAAAAGGUGAAUUCUGACAUUUGAUGGGCUCGCGUUUUAUAAGCUAGUUGGUGAGGUAACGGCUUACCAAGGCAACGAUCUGUAGCUGGUUUGAGAGGACGACCAGCCACACUGGGACUGAGACACGGCCCAGACUCCUACGGGAGGCAGCAGUGAGGAAUUUUCCGCAAUGGGCGAAAGCCUGACGGAGUAAUACCGCGUGCGGGAGGAAGGUCUAUUGACUGUAAACCGCUUUUAGGGAGAAAGAAUUUUGACGGUACUUGAUGAAUAAGCCUCGGCUAACUCCGUGCCAGCAGCCGCGGUAAUACGGAGGAGGCAAGCGUUAUCCGGAAUUAUUGGGCGUAAAGCGUCCGUAGAUGGUUUUGUCAGUCUGCUGUCAAAGCACAGGGCUUAACCCUGUAAAGGCAGUGGAAACUACAAGACUAGAGUGCAGUAGGGGCAGAGGGAAUUCCCAGUGUAGCGGUGAAAUGCGUAGAGAUUGGGAA